This 2136-nucleotide long non-coding RNA is filed under the name Salmo salar (Atlantic salmon). Its description in RNAcentral is "lncRNA (ENSSSAG00000119685.1)". Lineage: Eukaryota; Metazoa; Chordata; Actinopteri; Salmoniformes; Salmonidae. The record is from RNAcentral.
CUAGCUAUAUGGUGGGUCCACUUGUAGACUCUGAUCGUAGAUGUACCUAGCUAUAUGGUGGGUCCACUUGUAGACUCUGAUCGUAGAUGUACCUAGCUAUAUGGUGGGUCCACUUGUAGACUCUGAUUGUAGAUGUACCUAGCUAUAUGGUGGGUCCACUUGUAGACUCUGAUCGUAGAUGUACCUAGUUAUAUGGUGGGUCCACUUGUAGACUCUGAUUGUAGAUGUACCUAGUUAUAUGGUGGGUCCACUUGUAGACUCUGAUCGUAGAUGUACCUAGUUAUAUGGUGGGUCCACUUGUAGACUCUGAUUGUAGAUGUACCUAGUUAUAUGGUGGGUCCACUUGUAGACUCUGAUCGUAGAUGUACCUAGUUAUAUGGUGGGUCCACUUGUAGACUCUGAUCGUAGAUGUACCUAGCUAUAUGGUGGGUCCACUUGUAGACUCUGAUUGUAGAUGUACCUAGUUAUAUGGUGGGUCCACUUGUAGACUCUGAUCGUAGAUGUACCUAGCUAUAUGGUGGGUCCACUUGUAGACUCUGAUUGUAGAUGUACCUAGCUAUAUGGUGGGUCCACUUGUAGACUCUGAUCGUAGAUGUACCUAGCUAUAUGGUGGGUCCACUUGUAGACUCUGAUUGUAGAUGUACCUAGUUAUAUGGUGGGUCCACUUGUAGACUCUGAUCGUAGAUGUACCUAGCUAUAUGGUGGGUCCACUUGUAGACUCUGAUUGUAGAUGUACCUAGUUAUAUGGUGGGUCCACUUGUAGACUCUGAUCGUAGAUGUACCUAGUUAUAUGGUGGGUCCACUUGUAGACUCUGAUCGUAGAUGUACCUAGCUAUAUGGUGGGUCCACUUGUAGACUCUGAUCGUAGAUGUACCUAGCUAUAUGGUGGGUCCACUUGUAGACUCUGAUCGUAGAUGUACCUAGUUAUAUGGUGGGUCCACUUGAAGGAACCUCGGUAUGAAAAGCAUCGCAGGGUCCUUACAGCACUUUAUAAUUAUAGAUUUGCGUGUGGAGUGCAUGAUAUGAGUACGAUGCUCUGGUUUUUAAAGGGACAUUUUUGUGUAUUUAAUUUUUAAUUUUUUUAUUAAAUAACGAUAAAGCUUUUUGAAAGGGAUCAUCAGUGGAUAAUGAAAGGUCUGUGAAACACAUUUUCUUCUUAAGUUGUAAGUGGAAGUUUUAACUGUACAAUACGCUUCAUAAGACCUGUUUUUCAGUCGUUGAGGACAAGUUAUAUUACUUCCUAAUCAUUAUUGGUCAUGAAUUGUCUUGUCCUUACUGCACUUUAGAAUGAUUGAUUUGCAUGUGGAGGUCAUGGUACAAUGCACUAAUGUAAAUGUUUUUUUUUGGUUGUUUUAAUGCUUGUUUUGCAAGAGAUUUAUCAAUUGAUAAUGAAUAGGGGAUCAAUGUAAAGACAAGAAAUAACCUAAAAGUGACAGAGGAAUCUAAAUGUUAACUGUACAAGAUGGUUAUUUAAUUUACUGAGAAAUGUCAACCUGUUAAAUGUUUACAGGUCAGACUGUUGUAAAGAGGAAAGGAAUCUGUCCAAUGUGCUUCAUCUCUCAAACGGCUGCUUUUCAGACAUUUGAUACGGAGAAAGAAGCAUGGUAUUGGACCUCGUUAUGUAUAAUGAUCGUGUUCUUGAACUAAUGUAACGUAUGUAAAAUCUAAUAUGAAAUCUAAAGCCCUCAUUCUGGGUAUGGAAAGAAAAGGAACACUUAUCUAAGUUGUUUUAAACUCCCAGAUUUAAUUUGUAUUUUAUUUUUUUUUGUCAUGAUUUAAUGUUUUAUUAGAAUUUUUUUUUUUCCCUUGUUUUUGUCUUUUCUUGCAAAAUGGGUUUGGGUGCCUCCAUUCUGUUGUGCAAAGAUGAAUGUGACGAUGCACAUUGCAAUAAAGUUUUACUUUUAAAAACUGGGUCUGGAUUAAUCCUUCACCGUUAGGUGCCAUAAGGGAUUGAUUGACGCUAUAAUAAAACUGUCUUGCUUGCAAAUCAAUCACACAAUGAAAGUGACCAGAGGUGUCAUGCCCAUUGGGGGAACAAGGGCACGUGCCCCUUAGAUUUGCUGUGUAUUCAUUUUAUUUAUUUUUUUCAGACGUUAAAUAAAUUACUAAACUUCAUUUUUAAAACCCACGUUGUAU